AGAGUUUGAUCCUGGCUCAGGACGAACGCUGGCGGCGUGCUUAACACAUGCAAGUCAAGGAGAAAGUUUUCUUCGGAAAAUGAUUAAACUGGCGCACGGGUGAGUAUUAUGUAAGUAAUCUACCCUAGGGAUGGGGAUAACGUCGAGAAAUUGGCGCUAAUACCGAAUAAUUCAACGUCAUCGCAUGGUGAUGUUGUUAAAGCUGCUUCGGUAGCACCUUAGGAUGAGCUUGCAUCUGAUUAGCUUGUUGGUAGGGUAAUGGCCUACCAAGGCUACGAUCAGUAGCUGGUCUGAGAGGAUGAUCAGCCACACUGGAACUGAGACACGGUCCAGACUCCUACGGGAGGCAGCAGUGAGGAAUAUUGGGCAAUGGACGAAAGUCUGACCCAGCAACGCCGCGUGGGGGAUGAAUGCCGUAAGGUUGUAAACCCCUUUUGUGAGGGAUGAAUAUCCACUAUUCGCAAGGGUAGUGGCCUGACCGUACCUCACGAAUAAGCUCCGGCUAACUACGUGCCAGCAGCCGCGGUAAUACGUAGGGAGCAAGCGUUGUCCGGAUUUACUGGGUGUAAAGGGUGCGCAGGCGGGUCAGUCAGUCAGAGGUGAAAUCUCACGGCUUAACCGUGAAACUGCCUUUGAUACUGCUGAUCUUGAGUAUGGAAGAGAGAGACGGAAUUCCAGGUGUAGUGGUGAAAUACGUAGAUAUCUGGAAGAACACCAGAGGCGAAGGCGGUCUCUUGGUCCAUUACUGACGCUGAGGCACGAAAGCGUGGGGAGCGAACAGGAUUAGAUACCCUGGUAGUCCACGCCGUAAACGAUGAACACUAGGUGUUGGGUUUUUAACUCAGUGCCGCAGCUAACGCAUUAAGUGUUCCACCUGGGGAGUACGAUCGCAAGGUUGAAACUCAAAGGAAUUGACGGGGGCCCGCACAAGCAGUGGAGCAUGUGGUUUAAUUCGAUUCAACGCGAAGAACCUUACCUGGGCUUGAAACGCAGUGGACCGGUUGUGAAAGCAACCUUCUCUUCGGAGUCGCUGUACAGGUGCUGCAUGGCUGUCGUCAGCUUGUGCCGUGAGGUGUUGGGUUAAGUCUCGCAACGAGCGCAACCCUUACCAUUAGUUGCCAUCAAGUAAUGUUGGGCACUUUAAUGGGACUGCCUACGUAAGUAGUGAGGAAGGUGGGGAUGACGUCAAGUCAGCAUGGCCCUUACGCCCAGGGCUACACACGUGCUACAAUGGGUGUCACAACGGGUUGCCAAGCCGCAAGGUGGAGCUAAUCCCUUAAAGGCAUCCUCAGUUCGGAUUGGAGUCUGCAACUCGACUCCAUGAAGCCGGAAUUGCUAGUAAUCGCGCAUCAGCACGGCGCGGUGAAUACGUUCCCGGGCCUUGUACACACCGCCCGUCAAGCCAUGGAAGCCGGGGGUACCCGAAGUCAGUGACUCAACCGCAAGGAGAGAGCUGCCUAAGGUAAAACUGGUAACUGGGGCUAAGUCGAAACAAGGUA
Molecule: ribosomal RNA, 1499 nt
Filed under: metagenome
Description: bacterial SSU rRNA
Rfam family: Bacterial small subunit ribosomal RNA
Source: RNAcentral